CCUACGGGGGGCAGCAGUGGGGAAUAUUGGACAAUGGGGGCAACCCUGAUCCAGCCAUGCCGCGUGUGUGAAGAAGGCCCUCGGGUUGUAAAGCACUUUCAGUGAGGAAGAACGCCUGGUGGUUAAUACCCAUCAGGAAAGACAUCACUCACAGAAGAAGCACCGGCUAACUCCGUGCCAGCAGCCGCGGUAAUACGGAGGGUGCGAGCGUUAAUCGGAAUUACUGGGCGUAAAGCGCGCGUAGGUGGCUUGAUAAGCCGGUUGUGAAAGCCCCGGGCUCAACCUGGGAACGGCAUCCGGAACUGUCAAGCUAGAGUGCAGGAGAGGAAGGUAGAAUUCCCGGUGUAGCGGUGAAAUGCGUAGAGAUCGGGAGGAAUACCAGUGGCGAAGGCGGCCUUCUGGACUGACACUGACACUGAGGUGCGAAAGCGUGGGUAGCAAACAGGAUUAGAUACCCGGGUAGUCC
This 466-nucleotide ribosomal RNA is filed under the name Vreelandella stevensii. RNAcentral describes it as "partial 16S ribosomal RNA". It matches the Rfam family "Bacterial small subunit ribosomal RNA", at positions 338 to 796 of the family's 1533-position model. Lineage: Bacteria; Pseudomonadati; Pseudomonadota; Gammaproteobacteria; Oceanospirillales; Halomonadaceae. The record is from RNAcentral.